RNAcentral lists this ribosomal RNA (250 nucleotides) under Vibrio fluvialis. RNAcentral describes it as "partial 23S ribosomal RNA". It matches the Rfam family "Bacterial large subunit ribosomal RNA", at positions 582 to 835 of the family's 2925-position model. The record is from RNAcentral. Lineage: Bacteria; Pseudomonadati; Pseudomonadota; Gammaproteobacteria; Vibrionales; Vibrionaceae.
UCUUCGUGGGGUGACUGCGUACCUUUUGUAUAAUGGGUCAGCGACUUAUAUUCAGUGGCAAGGUUAACCAUUUAGGGGAGCCGUAGGGAAACCGAGUCUUAACUGGGCGUUCAGUCUCUGGAUAUAGACCCGAAACCGAGUGAUCUAGCCAUGGGCAGGUUGAAGGUUGAGUAACAUCAACUGGAGGACCGAACCGACUAAUGUUGAAAAAUUAGCGGAUGACUUGUGGCUAGGGGUGAAAGGCCAAUCA